GAUUAGGGUUAGGAUUGGGGUUAGGGUUAGGGUUAGGGCUUAGGAGGGUAGGUGCUAACCUAUGUGCACAGGCCAUCAAUGUUGCUCACUCAACUGGAUUCACUUCUCAUUCAGGCCUUGGGGAUAUGUAGUGCCUAAUUUAUUAAUCCAAAUUCUCUCUGCCCUUUUUCUCUGAAGCACGGACCACUGCAGGUUGGCCUCCAGGACCGUGACCCGGAAGGACCCCCAUCCGUGGCUCAGGAAGUGCUGUACCAGAUAAGUGUUCUUUUCUCUUUCUCUUAGGAUAUUGUAUUUAUGUUGUGUCAUUCUAACCAGAAUGGUGUUGCCCGUCUCUCCCACAUAUUGGGCUCCACAUUGUUUACAGGUGACCAGAUAAAUGCAGUUUUUACUGUGUACCGUGCCUAAUCGGUGAGUAUAGAAAACCUCUUUUGUGAAUUUGUUUUGUACGAAUUCCUUUUGUUCCCAAUAUUGUCCCUGAUGUUUGGGUUUCGUGUUAUGGAGAGGAUGAAGUUUAGCUCUGAUUAGAUGGUCCUGUAAACUUUUGUUUUUUCUGAAUGCUGCAAUGACUUUGUGGUCCUUAAAUAUUUGUGUUUGUCCCAAUAUGCUCUGGAAAUUAGACUUUACCUCUCUGGUCAGUUUCAGAGCGGCCGAGGAGAAUGUCAGGACGAGGGGCACGCUGGUGCCCUCUGCCGGGGUCCCUCUUGUCCGGUAGGAUUUAAAAACCUUCCUCAAGAAGGACCUAUUAUAUCCUCUGGGCCUGAGUGCUUUAAAGAGGGUUUGCGUCGCUUCUGUGAAGUCCUGUUCCCGGGUGCAUAUGCGAUGGAACCUCAGGAGUUGCGACUUAAUAAGGCCGGACACGGACCACUGCAGGUUGGCCUCCAGGACCGUGACCCGGAAGGACCCCCAUCCGUGGCUCAGGAAGUGCUGUACCAGAUAAGUGUUCUUUUCUCUUUCUCUUAGGAUAUUGUAUUUAUGUUGUGUCAUUCUAACCAGAAUGGUGUUGCCCGUCUCUCCCACAUAUUGGGCUCCACAUUGUUUACAGGUGACCAGAUAAAUGCAGUUUUUACUGUGUACCGUGCCUAAUCGGUGAGUAUAGAAAACCUCUUUUGUGAAUUUGUUUUGUACGAAUUCCUUUUGUUCCCAAUAUUGUCCCUGAUGUUUGGGUUUCGUGUUAUGGAGAGGAUGAAGUUUAGCUCUGAUUAGAUGGUCCUGUAAACUUUUGUUUUUUCUGAAUGCUGCAAUGACUUUGUGGUCCUUAAAUAUUUGUGUUUGUCCCAAUAUGCUCUGGAAAUUAGACUUUACCUCUCUGGUCAGUUUCAGAGCGGCCGAGGAGAAUGUCAGGACGAGGGGCACGCUGGUGCCCUCUGCCGGGGUCCCUCUUGUCCGGUAGGAUUUAAAAACCUUCCUCAAGAAGGACCUAUUAUAUCCUCUGGGCCUGAGUGCUUUAAAGAGGGUUUGCGUCGCUUCUGUGAAGUCCUGUUCCCGGGUGCAUAUGCGAUGGAACCUCAGGAGUUGCGACUUAAUAAGGCCGGACACGGACCACUGCAGGUUGGCCUCCAGGACCGUGACCCGGAAGGACCCCCAUCCGUGGCUCAGGAAGUGCUGUACCAGAUAAGUGUUCUUUUCUCUUUCUCUUAGGAUAUUGUAUUUAUGUUGUGUCAUUCUAACCAGAAUGGUGUUGCCCGUCUCUCCCACAUAUUGGGCUCCACAUUGUUUACAGGUGACCAGAUAAAUGCAGUUUUUACUGUGUACCGUGCCUAAUCGGUGAGUAUAGAAAACCUCUUUUGUGAAUUUGUUUUGUACGAAUUCCUUUUGUUCCCAAUAUUGUCCCUGAUGUUUGGGUUUCGUGUUAUGGAGAGGAUGAAGUUUAGCUCUGAUUAGAUGGUCCUGUAAACUUUUGUUUUUUCUGAAUGCUGCAAUGACUUUGUGGUCCUUAAAUAUUUGUGUUUGUCCCAAUAUGCUCUGGAAAUUAGACUUUACCUCUCUGGUCAGUUUCAGAGCGGCCGAGGAGAAUGUCAGGACGAGGGGCACGCUGGUGCCCUCUGCCGGGGUCCCUCUUGUCCGGUAGGAUUUAAAAACCUUCCUCAAGAAGGACCUAUUAUAUCCUCUGGGCCUGAGUGCUUUAAAGAGGGUUUGCGUCGCUUCUGUGAAGUCCUGUUCCCGGGUGCAUAUGCGAUGGAACCUCAGGAGUUGCGACUUAAUAAGGCCGGACACGGACCACUGCAGGUUGGCCUCCAGGACCGUGACCCGGAAGGACCCCCAUCCGUGGCUCAGGAAGUGCUGUACCAGAUAAGUGUUCUUUUCUCUUUCUCUUAGGAUAUUGUAUUUAUGUUGUGUCAUUCUAACCAGAAUGGUGUUGCCCGUCUCUCCCACAUAUUGGGCUCCACAUUGUUUACAGGUGACCAGAUAAAUGCAGUUUUUACUGUGUACCGUGCCUAAUCGGUGAGUAUAGAAAACCUCUUUUGUGAAUUUGUUUUGUACGAAUUCCUUUUGUUCCCAAUAUUGUCCCUGAUGUUUGGGUUUCGUGUUAUGGAGAGGAUGAAGUUUAGCUCUGAUUAGAUGGUCCUGUAAACUUUUGUUUUUUCUGAAUGCUGCAAUGACUUUGUGGUCCUUAAAUAUUUGUGUUUGUCCCAAUAUGCUCUGGAAAUUAGACUUUACCUCUCUGGUCAGUUUCAGAGCGGCCGAGGAGAAUGUCAGGACGAGGGGCACGCUGGUGCCCUCUGCCGGGGUCCCUCUUGUCCGGUAGGAUUUAAAAACCUUCCUCAAGAAGGACCUAUUAUAUCCUCUGGGCCUGAGUGCUUUAAAGAGGGUUUGCGUCGCUUCUGUGAAGUCCUGUUCCCGGGUGCAUAUGCGAUGGAACCUCAGGAGUUGCGACUUAAUAAGGCCGGAGUAAGUGUGUUUGGGGUGGAAACUCCUUUUAUGCAGUAGGGCAUGCGUGUCAGUUUCUUUGAAGAAGACUUUUAUGUCCAAUUUUUGUGUCGAAUUGAAAUCUGGACCUUUGUAAGUCGUGGUGUCUAAAAAGUCUAUCGAUAGCUGACUGGUGGUGUAUUUUAAUUUUAUAGAUGGGUUAUGGUUAUUUAGUGUGGUCACAAAUUCCUUGAAUUCAUCCUCAGAGUGAGUCCAUACUCCCCAGAUAUCGUCCAGAUACCUGAAAUAGUGGAGGGGCUGUUUGUGGCAUCGGGAUAAGGCCGAAGCUUCCCACUCUGCCAUAAAUAUGUUGGCAUAGGCUGGGGCAAACUUCUUGCCCAUCGCCGUGCCUUUGAUUUGCAGGAAAAAUUCCCCGUUAAACUCGAAAUCAUUUCGGUUUAGAUUUAUAUCUAAUAAUCGGAUAAUUUCUUUGUCAGGUCUGGAGGUGUCCGGAUUUCUUUGGAAAAUAUUUUUAAUGGCCUGUAUUCCUUCUUGGAUGUCAAUGUUUGUGUAAAGGCUAUCUAUGUCCAUAGUGAACAAGAUAGCCUUUUGGGGAAUUUUAAGUCCUUUGACUUUCUGGACAAAAUCAUACGUGUCUUUUAUAUAGCUGGGGUGGCCAAUCGAGAGGGGAUUUAAGUAAAAAUCUAAGAAUUCGGCCGUGUAGUACGUUUCACUGCCGCAAUCGGAUACAAUAGGCCUACCUGGGGGAAUUUCGUAGGGUUUGCUCCAUUUAGCUGGGUCUUUGUGUAUUUUGGGGAGCAUGUAAAACCUCCUAUUUCUAGGUUCCCCGUUCCCCAUCAGGUAGGACUUUUGUUUUGCGUUGAUAUAUUUUUUUGAAUAUAGAGAUUGGACUAUAUCUUUAACCAUGGGUAUUGUAUCCAAAUAAAUGGGUCUAUCCAAUUUCUUGUAAUAUUUGGGGUCGUUCAAUUGUCUGUAUCCCUCCCAUAAAUAUUGUUCCCGGUCCCAUAUUACUAUUGCACUGCCCUUGUCUGCAGGUUUAAUGACCAUCUGCUUAUUGUCCUUUAGUUGUUUUAGAGCAUUAAUUUCCGCCGCGGUGAGGUUAGGCUCUUCCCGGGACGGUCUGAAAUAUUUCUUAAAAUAUUCCAGAUCCCUUUCAAAUAACGUGCCAAGUUCUGCGGGUAAUUUGUCUGCAGGUGGGACCCAGUUCGAUUUGGGUGUAAACGGAGGGGGAUUUGAAUCGUCGUCGUUUUGAAAGUAAGAUGCCAAUUUAAGUCUCCUAUGAUAUUGUUGUAGGUCGAAUCGUGUUUGCAUUACAUGGUGUUUUCUGCUCAUUUUGCCAGAUGGAAUGAAGGUCAAACCCCUGUUGAGCAGGCUAAGUUGUGGGGGAGUAAUAUGGAAUUUUUUGGAUAAGAUGACAACAUUUCGAUUCCCCUCCUGUGCAUGCAGGCUUAUGGGGAGAUUUAUUUUAAAUAUUCGAGCCAGUGCUGGAGCAUGUUUCUGGCAGUGUCCACUGUCCAGUGUAUAUUGUCACUUUCCGUGUGGAACUCAGUUCUGGACAGGGCUGGGAUAUGUUUUAGGUUGGCACAGAUAUAGGCGUUCAGGACGGUCAAUUGUGUCUGCUCCCUUGUUGGGAGCAUUCCUGAAAAGUUCACCUCUGGAACCCAAAUUUGUGCCAGAGGGAACUUUUCUUUUGCCGCUCUCAAAGCCGCCUGCAUCUGUUUGAUGGCAGUGUCUUUGGCAUUCUGCGUCCGGCUGUUGAUCCCUAACGCCAAAAUAACGUGUUCCACGUCAGCGGAAGCAGUAUUUUUAUUGAUCACAGCCUCGAUGUGUCUGAACGUAGCCCCCGGGUAACUUUCUAUUUGGAGGUCAGGAUUCUUAAACGGUGGGAUUUUAGACAGAUUGGAGUCUCCGAUAAUGAGCCAUUUUUUUCGGACAGUCAGCUUCCAUUCAACCAUUUUUCUGAUCGUGUUUAUGUGUCUGUUAGGCCCGUCCUCCUGGGAGUCACAUUGUACUCCAGAAGGUGUGUUGAGUUCAACACUCAAACGGGCCUGUGUGGCUGUCCUGAGGCUAGUGACUUUGUCGGGGCUCAGGGUAACUCUUUGUGAGCUGAAAUUGCCCUGUUCGCCUUCCCCUUGGUCCUCAACAAGGAUAAGGUCUGGUUCCUGUCUGACACAGGGGUUGAGACGCACGCGAGGAGUCCGUUGUUCUUUUGGGGAGGCCGGGAAAUUAAACAUAAUGUCUGAACGGCUGUCUGAGUCCUCCUCCCUGACAGGGGACCAGUCGUUCAGCGGGUCUGUCAUGGUGGACGCUGUUUUAGUCGGUUUUAUUACUAAUGGGGUGGAUAUUCCCGAAAGAGAAUGUACAUCCUCCCCAGUGUGCACCGAAGCCUGUACCGUAACGGUUUUAGCCGUUGUGUUUUCUAGGAGAGGAGGAGCAAGAGGGACACUUUGGGUCUCCGCUUCCUCCCUCCUCUCCCCAGAAUCGGUAGCAGGAACAGGAACAGGGGUCUGCCAUUUCUCCCCUACCAACAUAUGAGCCUCAUGUAUUGUUUUGUCCCUCAGUCUUCUACCAAUACCCCGUUUAGCCCACAGAAUGGCCGUAUCAAAGCAUUCCUCCCAGCCCUGGGAAGGAACGUGCUGGAGCUUAGCCAUUUCCUCCACCAAUGCGUCUUCAUAAUGGCUCUUAAGAAUCAGCAUGGUGGUGUAGGCCCAGUUUUUAGCAUUGCCUUCAAUAAAGGCUUGUGUUGUGGGGUUUGGCAAAGCUGGUUUGAUGACCUCCGACAGAUGUUUUUCAAUUUUAUUAAUUGCAGGAGGCUGUUCCUGGCUGAUGUUGUUUUUGUGAUGCACCAAUUUAAUUAUUUUAAAUAAGGCGCGAGUUUUUACUACAAAAUUAGGGUCAUCUGAAUGCUUGGGCUUUAUGUUUUGUUUCUGAUUUGUGUUUUUAUUUUGCAAGUGUGAACGAACUGCCCGUGUUCUGUCCUGCACCCUCUCCCUUGGUUCCUUCGAAAAGGAUUUUUGCCAGAACAUCAAAGUACCGGGUCCUGAACGGGCCCGAGGUUCAAAAAAUUUUGGUCUGUAAGACCGCUGAUAAGGCUCACUAUGGUGAGUUAUGGUCUUUGCUGCCCUCAUGUGGCCACCAUAUUUAACUGCUUCUGCAUAGGAGAGCAUUCUCUCUCCCUGUGCAUGAUGUUGAGUAUUGUGGUACGGACGGGGCAGAGGCCAGACUGUGCCCUGAAUGGCAUGCCUGCGUUUAUGUGUGACCACCGUCCAACCAUCUCUCUGUGGCAAAGCCAUGAUUUAGGAAAUUUUUUGUGAAAAAACAAAAGCAAGGACUUGUUAAAUAAAUUGAAGUCAGGAAGGUAUAACUCAAAGUCUGUCUUGUAUGUUUUUUUGUGUAAUUUUUAUCUAUAAAAUGAAUGUAAAUAUAAUGAAAUAAAAAAAAUUUUUUUAGAAAAUGAAAAUAAAAAAUGUUUUUUAUAUAUAUUUCAAACCAGUUAUAGAGGUGAGAAUGAUCUAAAACUUUACACAAGUGUUCUCCAACCCUGUGAUCAGUAAUUCUUUAUCUAUAAAAUGAAUGUAAAUAUAAACCAAUCAAAUAAAAAAUAAAAAAAAAAAAAUUUUUUUAGAAAAUGAAAAUUUAAACAAAUCAAAAUAACAAACUUUUUUUUUUUUUUCAAAAUUGAAAAUAGAGAUAUUUUUUUGUACAUAUGUGUGUGAAAAAUUCAAAAAUGAACAAGCCGUUGCAACGUUUCGGUUCUCUUGGAACCUUCUUCAGGCAGGCUUGUUCUAAUCUUGAAACCAAUGAGCUCCAAAAAUGAAUCAAUAUUGAAAAAUAAAACAAUGAAAAGAAACCAAUGUGUAUUUAGGAUCAGAAUAUAAGGUUUUGGAAUGCAAAAAGUGUUAGAGGCUUUCUCUCUAAAGAGCUGGAAGCAAUGAAUAAAAUUCUGCAUCCUCAGUUGUUCCUUUUUAUAAUGUGGGGGGCGGGACUCAAUUUGAAUGAGCCAAUAGGAGCCUUUUCCAUGCUCCAGUUUAAAAAGAAACAGCUCCAAACCAAUCAGAAAAAAGCUGUCUUUUCCAAAAAAUGACAAAAUGUUUUUUAUUAAUAUCUGGAUAUAAAUAAGUGAUGUUGAUGUUAAUAAAUGAAAAAAUAAAAUAAAUAAAAUAAUAAACCCAUCUUUCCAUGUUCCCCAAAGUUUGUGUUUAUUAAAAUUAUUAUACCGAUUCUAAAAAGGAAGUUGUGGACAGUUGAGUUUACUGCAAACAUGAGGCACGGGCCGA
Pangasianodon hypophthalmus (striped catfish) is the source of this 7145-nucleotide long non-coding RNA. RefSeq lists it as uncharacterized. NCBI's taxonomy places the organism in Eukaryota, Metazoa, Chordata, Actinopteri, Siluriformes, Pangasiidae. The record is from RefSeq and is a predicted model, not a curated record. The transcript is spliced from 4 exons.